This 425-nucleotide ribosomal RNA is filed under the name uncultured bacterium. Its description in RNAcentral is "partial 16S ribosomal RNA". It matches the Rfam family "Bacterial small subunit ribosomal RNA", at positions 354 to 796 of the family's 1533-position model. The record is from RNAcentral.
GUGGGGAAUCUUAGACAAUGGGGGAAACCCUGAUCUAGCCAUGCCGCGUGAGCGAUGAAGGCCUUAGGGUUGUAAAGCUCUUUCAGCUGGGAAGAUAAUGACGGUACCAGCAGAAGAAGCCCCGGCUAACUCCGUGCCAGCAGCCGCGGUAAUACGGAGGGGGCUAGCGUUGUUCGGAAUUACUGGGCGUAAAGCGCGCGUAGGCGGACCAGAAAGUUGGAGGUGAAAUCCCAGGGCUCAACCUUGGAACUGCCUUCAAAACUCCUGGUCUGGAGUUCGAGAGAGGUGAGUGGAAUGCCGAGUGUAGAGGUGAAAUUCGUAGAUAUUCGGAGGAACACCAGUGGCGAAGGCGGCUCACUGGCUCGAUACUGACGCUGAGGUGCGAAAGCGUGGGGAGCAAACAGGAUUAGAUACCCCUGUAGUCC